AGAGUUUGAUCCUGGCUCAGGACGAACGCUGGCGGCGCGCCUAACACAUGCAAGUCGAACGGAGCUGAGAGGAGCUUGCUUUUCUCAGCUUAGUGGCGAACGGGUGAGUAACGCGUGAGUAACCUGCCCUGGAGUGGGGGACAACAGUUGGAAACGACUGCUAAUACCGCAUAAGCCCACGGCCCGGCAUCGGGCUGCGGGAAAAGGAUUUAUUCGCUUCACGAUGGACUCGCGUCCAAUUAGCUAGUUGGUGAGGUAACGGCCCACCAAGGCGACGAUUGGUAGCCGGACUGAGAGGUUGAACGGCCACAUUGGGACUGAGACACGGCCCAGACUCCUACGGGAGGCAGCAGUGGGGGAUAUUGCACAAUGGGGGAAACCCUGAUGCAGCGACGCCGCGUGGAGGAAGAAGGUUUUCGGAUUGUAAACUCCUGUCGUUAGGGACGAUAAUGACGGUACCUAACAAGAAAGCACCGGCUAACUACGUGCCAGCAGCCGCGGUAAAACGUAGGGUGCAAGCGUUGUCCGGAAUUACUGGGUGUAAAGGGAGCGCAGGCGGACCGGCAAGUUGGAAGUGAAAACUAUGGGCUCAACCCAUAAAUUGCUUUCAAAACUGCUGGCCUUGAGUAGUGCAGAGGUAGGUGGAAUUCCCCGGUGUAGCGGUGGAAUGCGUAGAUAUCGGGAGGAACACCAGUGGGCGAAGGCGACCUACUGGGCACCAACUGACGCUGAGGCUCGAAAGCAUGGGUAGCAAACAGGAUUAGAUACCCUGGUAGUCCAUGCCGUAAACGAUGAUUACUAGGUGUUGGAGGAUUGACCCCUUCAGUGCCGCAGUUAACACAAUAAGUAAUCCACCUGGGGAGUACGACCGCAAGGUUGAAACUCAAAGGAAUUGACGGGGGCCCGCACAAGCAGUGGAGUAUGUGGUUUAAUUCGAAGCAACGCGAAGAACCUUACCAGGUCUUGACAUCCGAUGCAUAGUGCAGAGAUGCAUGAAGUCCUUCGGGACAUCGAGACAGGUGGUGCAUGGUUGUCGUCAGCUCGUGUCGUGAGAUGUUGGGUUAAGUCCCGCAACGAGCGCAACCCUUAUUGCCAGUUACUACGAAAGAGGACUCUGGCGAGACUGCCGUUGACAAAACGGAGGAAGGUGGGGAUGACGUCAAAUCAUCAUGCCCUUUAUGACCUGGGCUACACACGUACUACAAUGGCGUUUAACAAAGAGAAGCAAGACCGCGAGGUGGAGCAAAACUCAAAAACAACGUCUCAGUUCAGAUUGCAGGCUGCAACUCGCCUGCAUGAAGUCGGAAUUGCUAGUAAUCGCGGAUCAGCAUGCCGCGGUGAAUACGUUCCCGGGCCUUGCACACACCGCCCGUCA
Molecule: ribosomal RNA, 1375 nt
Filed under: uncultured bacterium
Lineage: Bacteria
Description: bacterial SSU rRNA
Rfam family: Bacterial small subunit ribosomal RNA
Source: RNAcentral